UAGCAAUACGAGAGUGGCAGACGGGUGAGUAACACGUGGGAACCUUCCCUAUGGUUCGGAAUAGCUCAGGGAAACUUGAGGUAAUACCGGAUAAGCCCUUACGGGGAAAGAUUUAUCGCCAUUGGAUGGGCCCGCGUCGGAUUAGCUAGUUGGUGAGGUAACGGCUCACCAAGGCGACGAUCCGUAGCUGGUCUGAGAGGAUGAUCAGCCACACUGGGACUGAGACACGGCCCAGACUCCUACGGGAGGCAGCAGUGGGGAAUAUUGGACAAUGGGCGCAAGCCUGAUCCAGCCAUGCCGCGUGAGUGACGAAGGCCUUAGGG
This 323-nucleotide ribosomal RNA is filed under the name uncultured bacterium. RNAcentral describes it as "bacterial SSU rRNA". It matches the Rfam family "Bacterial small subunit ribosomal RNA", at positions 82 to 422 of the family's 1533-position model. The record is from RNAcentral.